AAAAAAUCGAAAAAAAAAUUAAAAAAAAUCGAAGUAUAUAAAAAAAAGGAGUGAAAAGUUUUGUGAGUUUUAUUUUGUUUUUAUUUCUUGUUGCUUCCGAGCAUCCAUUCAUUCUACCAUUCCCUCUACCCCCCAAAACGCACACAUACUUUGAUUUUUAUUUUCUUUGUUUAGCCUACCCUACACCCGACGUUAUCCCUUGUAACCCAUUUGAAGCCGAUCCUCUAAGCCGCAAUAAGUCUUCUUGAAACAAAAUACGAAUUCACGAGAGUGAGACGAGCGGAAAAAGGCACGAGUGGUGAGUAUAUUAGAGCGAGCAAAAGCCAUUUAACAAGUGUAAACACGAGUGGAGUGUUAUCCAAUUUUCUUUGUGAGUGAAAUUGUGAGGUUUGUGGUGAGCAACAAAAAUCAUGUCAUACGAAGAGUUCACCGAAUCAGAAUACCAAUACUUGGUUCAAGAAAAGCGAAGAAUGGCGACUAAACGAGACCAAAGUGAUCGAGUUUCUUCAAGUCGUAAAACGGAACCAAGAACCCCACGGAGAUAUACCCCCGACUACUACUUAAGAAAAAGUUCCUAUCGUGAUUCCUUUUCGCCAUCUACUACGAGACAAAGAGAUUUAUACUAUGACGCAUAUUCAUCAGCGAAUUCGAGAAGUGACUUCGAUCGAAAGUCCUUUUCAUCAAGAAAUU
RNAcentral lists this long non-coding RNA (690 nucleotides) under Gossypium barbadense (sea-island cotton). RNAcentral describes it as "long non-coding RNA (GBAR_LNC007210)". Lineage: Eukaryota; Viridiplantae; Streptophyta; Magnoliopsida; Malvales; Malvaceae. The record is from RNAcentral.